CGGUAACAGCUCAAAUUUGAAAUCUGACCUUCACGGGUCCGAGUUGUAAUUUGUAGAGGAAUUUUCGGAUAGGCUUUGGUUUAAGUUUCUUGGAACAGAACGUCAUAGAGGGUGAGAGUCCCGUCUAGAACCGAUAGCCGCGUCCAUGUGAAACUCCUUCGAC
Molecule: ribosomal RNA, 163 nt
Filed under: Capronia sp.
Lineage: Eukaryota; Fungi; Ascomycota; Eurotiomycetes; Chaetothyriales; Herpotrichiellaceae
Description: partial large subunit ribosomal RNA
Rfam family: Eukaryotic large subunit ribosomal RNA
Source: RNAcentral